UACGUAGGGUGCGAGCGUUAAUCGGAAUUACUGGGCGUAAAGCGCACGUAGGCGGAUUUGUAAGUCAGGGGUGAAAUCCCGGGGCUCAACCUCGGAACUGCCUUUGAUACUGCAAAUCUCGAGUCCGGAAGAGGUGAGUGGAAUUCCUAGUGUAGAGGUGAAAUUCGUAGAUAUUCGCAAGAACACCAGUGGCGAAGGCGGCUAUCUGGACCGACAUUGACGCUGAGGCGCGAAAGCGUGGGGAGCAAACAGG
This 253-nucleotide ribosomal RNA is filed under the name uncultured bacterium. RNAcentral's name for it is "partial 16S ribosomal RNA". It matches the Rfam family "Bacterial small subunit ribosomal RNA", at positions 524 to 776 of the family's 1533-position model. The record is from RNAcentral.